Molecule: ribosomal RNA, 408 nt
Filed under: uncultured bacterium
Lineage: Bacteria
Description: partial 16S ribosomal RNA
Rfam family: Bacterial small subunit ribosomal RNA
Source: RNAcentral
GACGAACGCUGGCGGCGUGCUUAACACAUGCAAGUCGAAGAUAGUGGCGAUCGGGUGAGUAAUACGUGGGUAACCUGCCCUCCUUUUUGGGAUAAGCCUUGGAAACGGGGUCUAAUACCGAAUAAAGGCGGAUGGGCUCGCGGCCUAUCGGUUGGUUGGUGGGGUGAUGGCCUACCAAGGCGGUGACGGGAAGCCGGACUGAGAGGGUGAACGGCGACAGAGGGAAGGUGAUGCGGCCCAGACGCGUACGGGGGGCAGCAGUGGGGGAUAUUGGCCAAUGGGCGAGAGUCUGAUACAGCGAGGCCGCGGGGGGGACGAAGGCUGUCGGGUUGUAAACUUCUUACGGUAGCGAACGGGUAGGUGAAGAAGAAGCGCCGGCUAACUACGUGCCAGCCGCCGCGGUAAUAC